GAUGAACGCUGGCGGCGUGCCUAAUACAUGCAAGUCGAGCGAACAGACGAGGAGCUUGCUCCUCUGACGUUAGCGGCGGACGGGUGAGUAACACGUGGAUAACCUACCUAUAAGACUGGGAUAACUUCGGGAAGCCGGAGCUAAUACCGGAUAAUAUAUUGAACCGCAUGGUUCAAUAGUGAAAGACGGUUUUGCUGUCACUUAUAGAUGGAUCCGCGCCGCAUUAGCUAGUUGGUAAGGUAACGGCUUACCAAGGCAACGAUGCGUAGCCGACCUGAGAGGGUGAUCGGCCACACGGGAACUGAGACACGGUCCAGACGCCUACGGGAGGCAGCAGUAGGGAAUCUUCCGCAAUGGGCGAAAGCCUGACGGAGCAACGCCGCGUGAGUGAUGAAGGUCUUCGGAUCGUAAAACUCUGUUAUUAGGGAAGAACAAAUGUGUAAGUAACUAUGCACGUCUUGACGGUACCUAAUCAGAAAGCCACGGCUAACUACGUG
This 497-nucleotide ribosomal RNA is filed under the name uncultured bacterium. Its description in RNAcentral is "partial 16S ribosomal RNA". It matches the Rfam family "Bacterial small subunit ribosomal RNA", at positions 28 to 507 of the family's 1533-position model. The record is from RNAcentral.